GGUGGAAUUGGUAGACACGACGGACUUAAAAUCCGUUGCCAUUAGAGGGCUUGAGGGUUCAAGU
RNAcentral lists this transfer RNA (64 nucleotides) under Striatella unipunctata. Lineage: Eukaryota; Bacillariophyta; Striatellaphyceae; Striatellales; Striatellaceae. The record is from RNAcentral.